Molecule: long non-coding RNA, 897 nt
Organism: Octopus bimaculoides (California two-spot octopus)
Lineage: Eukaryota; Metazoa; Mollusca; Cephalopoda; Octopoda; Octopodidae
Source: RefSeq, a predicted model, not a curated record
ACUAGAAACAGGUGAAAUAAAUAUCGGAGAUGCUUUGCCCUAUGCUGAGACUGGGGUGGGGGUUACUCAGAGGUUUUGCCAGCUCUUCUAAAUCCAUUGCAAUGUUGGAAACACUUCCAUUAUCGUCUGCAGGUCACAAGUGUUUUGCCUCUUAGCCUCUUCACUUCACCUGAGUGAGGCAAUGACAGCUGAGCUUCUAUUCAUAUACGGAAGGGUUCCACUUGCGGUCCUUUAUCAACCGUAGUCAGCUUGAGUUAGUUUUAAAUGCCGAGCCCAUUUCCUUGAUGGCUUUCUUCAGUUGCCUGAAUUAUAUUUUAAAAUGUUGGAAUAAGAUUUUGGUUUUGUCUUUUAUUCACAAGAUCUGAGAUUUAUAAGAGAGAAUGAAAACAGGGAAGAGAAGUGUGAACUAUAUGAAGCUAAAUAACGUUUAUAUAUUUCUUGAGAGUAUCAGAAGUUUAAAAUGAAUAAAGAAGUAUUCGGUGAAAAUCAAAGACGGAACAAAGAACAAGGAUUCGGCCAGAGGACAAAAAUAUAAAACCGGAAUAAGAGGUGACAGACUGUUUGCAGCUAAUUUAUCUCUGAGCUUAUACCGACCGACAGGUACGAGGCCCGAAAUUUUGGGGGAGGGGGCCAGUCGAUUAGCCGGACGUCAGUACGCAACUUCUAUUUAAUUCAUCGAUCUCGAAAGGCAAUGUCGACCUCGGCGGGAUUUGAACUCAGAACGUAAAGACAGACGAAGUAUCGCCAAGCAUUUCGCCCGGCCUGCUAACGUUUCUGCCAGCUCCUUGCUGCCUUACAAAGCAAGAUAAAUUGCAUAAACUAUUCUUGAUUGAAUCGCUACAUAUCUUUAUUUUCAUCUUCGAUAAAGAAUUGUCAAUAAAUUUGUUCCAAUAUUAA